Molecule: ribosomal RNA, 429 nt
Filed under: Gemmatimonadota bacterium
Lineage: Bacteria; Pseudomonadati; Gemmatimonadota
Description: Gemmatimonadetes bacterium partial 16S ribosomal RNA
Rfam family: Bacterial small subunit ribosomal RNA
Source: RNAcentral
UAGGGAAUCUUCGGCAAUGGACGAAAGUCUGACCGAGCAACGCCGCGUGAGUGAAGAAGGUUUUCGGAUCGUAAAACUCUGUUGUUAGAGAAGAACAAGGACGUUAGUAACUGAACGUCCCCUGACGGUAUCUAACCAGAAAGCCACGGCUAACUACGUGCCAGCAGCCGCGGUAAUACGUAGGUGGCAAGCGUUGUCCGGAUUUAUUGGGCGUAAAGCGAGCGCAGGCGGUUUCUUAAGUCUGAUGUGAAAGCCCCCGGCUCAACCGGGGAGGGUCAUUGGAAACUGGGAGACUUGAGUGCAGAAGAGGAGAGUGGAAUUCCAUGUGUAGCGGUGAAAUGCGUAGAUAUAUGGAGGAACACCAGUGGCGAAAGCGGCUCUCUGGUCUGUAACUGACGCUGAGGCUCGAAAGCGUGGGGAGCAAACAGG